RNAcentral lists this ribosomal RNA (376 nucleotides) under uncultured organism. RNAcentral's name for it is "partial 16S ribosomal RNA". It matches the Rfam family "Bacterial small subunit ribosomal RNA", at positions 527 to 896 of the family's 1533-position model. The record is from RNAcentral.
GUAGGUGGCAAGCGUUGUCCGGAAUUAUUGGGCGUAAAGCGCGCGCAGGCGGUCCUUUAAGUCUGAUGUGAAAGCCCACGGCUCAACCGUGGAGGGUCAUUGGAAACUGGGGGACUUGAGUACAGAAGAGGAAAGCGGAAUUCCAAGUGUAGCGGUGAAAUGCGUAGAGAUUUGGAGGAACACCAGUGGCGAAGGCGGCUUUCUGGUCUGUAACUGACGCUGAGGCGCGAAAGCGUGGGGAGCAAACAGGGAUUAGAUACCCCGGGUAGUCCACGCCGUAAACGAUGAGUGCUAAGUGUUAGGGGGUUUCCCGCCCCCCUUAGUGCUGCAGCUAACGCAUUAAGCACUCCGCCUGGGGAGUACGGCCGCAAGGCUG